This is a long non-coding RNA of Triticum dicoccoides, 1880 nucleotides long. RefSeq lists it as uncharacterized. Lineage: Eukaryota; Viridiplantae; Streptophyta; Magnoliopsida; Poales; Poaceae. The record is from RefSeq and is a predicted model, not a curated record. The transcript is spliced from 4 exons.
AUGCAGUGGACAUGCAAAUAAUGUUGUUCCUUUGUGCUAAUGGAAUUCCCUUUAAUGUGUUGAGAAGUCCUCAACACUAUGAAAUGGUAGCAGCCAUCCAGAGAGCACCAAAGGGAUACAAACCUCCUGCAUAUGAGAAGGCUAGGACUACUCUUCUAGAUGCAUGUAAGAGAAAGGUGGAGAAUGAUUUGGCUCCGGUUAGACAAACAUGGUAUUCCCAUGGUGUCUCUGUUGUUUCUGACGGAUGGACAAAUAUGAAGAACCAUCCAUUAAUCAACGUAAUAGCAUCGAAUAGCUGUGGUUCAAUGUUUCUGUACGCAGAAGACUUCUCUGGAGAAGAGAAGACAGGUGAAGCCAUUGCACAAUUCUUACUGCAAGCCAUUGAGGAGAUUGGCCCUUCCAAUGUCCUUCAGGUCAUCACUGAUAAUGCAUCUAAUUGCAGAGUUGCGGGUGAAGAAAUUGAGAAAGUGCAUAAGCAUAUAUUUUGGUCUCCAUGUGUGGUUCACACACUGAAUCUAGUAUUCAAAGAUUUUGCAAAAAAAAGUUUGCUUGGAUGGUUGAUACAUACCAGACUGGGAAAGCAAUUGUGAAGUUCUUUAGGAACCACCAGCACUUUCAAGAUCUCUUUAGACGCAACUCCAAGUUGGAUCUUUUGAAGGUCUCAAAAACAAGAUUUACUUCUCAUUAUAUUGUGCUUAAGAGGCUUAUGGAUGUUCGAGAGGCGCUCACAACUACCAUUGUCACAAGAAAGUGGAAGGAACUGGUGAAGGCUUGUGAUGUACAAACAAGAGCAGCAGCAAAUGCGAUUGCCCAAAAUAUCAUUGAUGAGACAUUUUGGGAUGAGAUUAAAAUCAUCCUUGACAUGACAAAACCAUUAUACAUGGUAAUCAAGUUCAGUGACGGAGAAGGUCCAAAAUCUGGUGAUAUAUAUGAAAGAAUGGACAAUAUGCUUGGCGAGAUGCAAGAAGUCAUGACAAGGGAAGAUAACCCUCACAAAGAUGAUUGGUCGAAGCUAAAUGAAAUUAUUCUUUAUCGAUGGGGAAAGAUGAACUGGCAUUUUCAUUGCUUAGCGUUUGCUCUUUCUCCUAAGUAUUAUGAUCAAGCCUAUCUUGCAAGUCCUGCUCCUGGUGGUGGUCAAAGGAAAGCUCCAAAUGAUGACAGUGAGGUUAUGGAAGGUGUUAUAGAGGCUCUAAAUAGAAUUGCAGAAGAUAAAAAAGAGUAUGCUCUUUUACGUGAGGAGCUUAACACCUUUAUAAUGAAGAAAGGUUUGUAUGCAAUAGACGCCGUUCAGGCUGAUGCAGCCACGAUGAAUGCCACAUAAUGGUGGUUCAAUUAUGGCUCACAAACUCCAACUUUAAGUGAGGUGGCAAAGAAAGUCUUGUCUCAGCCAAUAAGCAGCUCCUCUGCCGAAAGAAAUUGGAGUACCUACUCAUUCAUACAUAAUGUAAAGAGAAACAAGCUGAAUGCAACGACAGCCGAUAAGCUUGUCUUUAUUCAUUCAAACGAGCGUCUGAAGAGGAGGUUUUCAGAGGGCUACAAUUCAGGUCCACAUUAGGAUGUUGAGCCUGAGAAUGAUUUGCUGGAGGAUUCAAGCUUGAAGCUUGAGCAGCUGCGUUGGGAUAGCUUGGAGGAUGAAGCAGCUGAUGCUGAACCACCACACAAAAUUCAGAGGACUUGAAACACUAGGAAGUGUCCGGUACAUGGCGAGUUAAUCUGUUGGUGAAACUUUAUUGGUUGGAAACCUGGAAGAUGAGUCACUUGGAUGCUGCUAUUGAAGUGAUUGUGUCUGUUACCUUAGUCAAUCUGUUUUCUUGUUUGCUACUCUGGUUAAGUCAAGUAUUUUGUUAAGUACUCGUGCUGAAAUUUUAAUUAAAUAUAUC